Molecule: ribosomal RNA, 253 nt
Filed under: uncultured bacterium
Lineage: Bacteria
Description: partial 16S ribosomal RNA
Rfam family: Bacterial small subunit ribosomal RNA
Source: RNAcentral
UACGUAGGGAGCAAGCGUUGUUCGGAAUCACUGGGCGUAAAGGGAGCGUAGGCGGGGGGAUAAGUUAGAAGUUAAAUAUGCAGGCUUAACCUGUAAUCUGCUUUUAAUACUGUCCUUCUUGAAUAUGGGAGAGGGUAACGGAAUUCCAGGUGUAGCGGUGGAAUGCGUAGAUAUCUGGAAGAACACCAGUUGCGAAGGCGGUUACCUGGCCCAAUAUUGACGCUGAGGCUCGAAAGCUAGGGGAGCAAACAGG